This 1247-nucleotide ribosomal RNA is filed under the name Staphylococcus aureus. Its description in RNAcentral is "partial 23S ribosomal RNA". It matches the Rfam family "Bacterial large subunit ribosomal RNA", at positions 1287 to 2530 of the family's 2925-position model. Lineage: Bacteria; Bacillati; Bacillota; Bacilli; Caryophanales; Staphylococcaceae. The record is from RNAcentral.
AGUGAGAAUGCCGGUGUGAGUAGCGAAAGACGGGUGAGAAUCCCGUCCACCGAUUGACUAAGGUUUCCAGAGGAAGGCUCGUCCGCUCUGGGUUAGUCGGGUCCUAAGCUGAGGCCGACAGGCGUAGGCGAUGGAUAACAGGUUGAUAUUCCUGUACCACCUAUAAUCGUUUUAAUCGAUGGGGGGACGCAGUAGGAUAGGCGAAGCGUGCGAUUGGAUUGCACGUCUAAGCAGUAAGGCUGAGUAUUAGGCAAAUCCGGUACUCGUUAAGGCUGAGCUGUGAUGGGGAGAAGACAUUGUGUCUUCGAGUCGUUGAUUUCACACUGCCGAGAAAAGCCUCUAGAUAGAAAAUAGGUGCCCGUACCGCAAACCGACACAGGUAGUCAAGAUGAGAAUUCUAAGGUGAGCGAGCGAACUCUCGUUAAGGAACUCGGCAAAAUGACCCCGUAACUUCGGGAGAAGGGGUGCUCUUUAGGGUUAACGCCCAGAAGAGCCGCAGUGAAUAGGCCCAAGCGACUGUUUAUCAAAAACACAGGUCUCUGCUAAACCGUAAGGUGAUGUAUAGGGGCUGACGCCUGCCCGGUGCUGGAAGGUUAAGAGGAGUGGUUAGCUUCUGCGAAGCUACGAAUCGAAGCCCCAGUAAACGGCGGCCGUAACUAUAACGGUCCUAAGGUAGCGAAAUUCCUUGUCGGGUAAGUUCCGACCCGCACGAAAGGCGUAACGAUUUGGGCACUGUCUCAACGAGAGACUCGGUGAAAUCAUAGUACCUGUGAAGAUGCAGGUUACCCGCGACAGGACGGAAAGACCCCGUGGAGCUUUACUGUAGCCUGAUAUUGAAAUUCGGCACAGCUUGUACAGGAUAGGUAGGAGCCUUUGAAACGUGAGCGCUAGCUUACGUGGAGGCGCUGGUGGGAUACUACCCUAGCUGUGUUGGCUUUCUAACCCGCACCACUUAUCGUGGUGGGAGACAGUGUCAGGCGGGCAGUUUGACUGGGGCGGUCGCCUCCUAAAAGGUAACGGAGGCGCUCAAAGGUUCCCUCAGAAUGGUUGGAAAUCAUUCAUAGAGUGUAAAGGCAUAAGGGAGCUUGACUGCGAGACCUACAAGUCGAGCAGGGUCGAAAGACGGACUUAGUGAUCCGGUGGUUCCGCAUGGAAGGGCCAUCGCUCAACGGAUAAAAGCUACCCCGGGGAUAACAGGCUUAUCUCCCCCAAGAGUUCACAUCGACGGGGAGGUUUGGCACCUCGAU